RNAcentral lists this long non-coding RNA (5834 nucleotides) under Arabidopsis lyrata. RNAcentral describes it as "long non-coding RNA (ALYR_LNC002045)". The record is from RNAcentral. Lineage: Eukaryota; Viridiplantae; Streptophyta; Magnoliopsida; Brassicales; Brassicaceae.
GGUAUUAGUGUAAAAGCCCUCUCUAGAAACUUAAGGUCAUUGUGAGUAUAUGUUUUCAAAAAGUGUUUCUAGAAAAUUUUAAUGCGCAAAAAAAAGUCUUCAAUAAUUACAUUUUUUGAUAAGUGAUUGCUGGUGUCGGAUCUCGGACCUAACUUGCUUAGGGCCUAACUUGCGUAGGGCCACGAAUUCGGAUUGAUUAACUCGGGACCAGAUGUUUGAAGAUGGGCUUUUUACAUUAUGUCGAAAUCAAGAAGGACGGCCCAUCAAAUCCCAAAUCGAGACGAUAGCUGUUAGAUUCGGGGUAACGUUCGAAUCUUCCGAACUAAAAGAAAAAGCGCUGAUUGUGGGUUUAACCGUUACCUCGGGAGGAUCACGAAAGUAACGGCUAAUAUGUAGUCAAUGCUAAUCAAGUAGGGAGUAAAGGCAGAAGAUUCGAGCCCUGGUAGUAUAAAAAGGAUAGGUAUUAUAUUACCACAUGACGAAAGAUUUUUGUAACAUAAAUGAUAAACACGAUCGAUACAAUUCUCAUUUUAUGCUUUUUGUUAGCUUUACGAUUCAAUAUUACUUAUCUCACAAGGUUGAGAACCCCAAACCUUUCACGAAUAUUUAAGUGCGAAUUUCGACAUCCACAUUUUGGGAACUUUCAGUCUAAAUACCCUAGAGUACCUAUUGAAUCACUAUGGCAAUUGACGGAGAUCAAGCCUCCACGCUCGAUGAGAUCAAGAAAUUGUUGAAGGAUUUGGCCGACAAAUCAGACUAGCAACAGCGCUAGUACCAAUCUCUCAAAGAAGUUUGUCUCGGUUGAGGAGCAGUGCAAUCCACAACUAGUUGUCCUCACUACAGGUUUCUCCGAACUCAGGAAAGCUCACAACGCCUACGCCAAUCGGGUUGACACUCUUUCUACAAGAGCCUUGAGAACCUCGGAAUCAAGGGGACACUUGAAUUUCUUAGACCCCAUUCGUCCGAAUCCUCAAGUAUCUCAAACCAUUCCUAAUUCAGAGAUGCUAGCACCGUCUUACACUCCUAUUAGCUCCCAACUGAGGGGUAAAACUGGUAGAAGCUCUACACCUUCGCUCGUGUUUCACGUACCUUUUCUUUCUGGAGGUGUGAAUGCUUCCACACUAGGAGGAUUCCUAAGGACUCCUAGUCUCCUUGGAUCAGGAGCCUGACCCUCGUACCCAUCCUCCAGACUACAAAGCAAUUUUCCACCGAUCAGCCCAAAACUUCAAAGUAUUCAGAACGAGAUCAAGUCAAUUAACUCUAGAGUUUACCAGACCACCAGCUCUGCUAUUGAAGUGAACAUAGUAAUUGAGGAUACAAGGAGAAUCUCUUUUACACCUCACAUUUCUAUGUUGCGAAUUUGCGAUACUUGAGAAUAAAGCUUCGGAGCUAUGAUGGGAAAGGGGAUCCGAAGUCCCAUUCUAAAUUGAUGAGAGACGCGUACGCAUGAAACUACACGAGGAAGAUGCAGGGUGCUGCAAAUUGUUUGUCAAAAAUCUUUCCAGACCAGCUCUCCUCUAGUUCACUUACCUAGAAGAGGGAUCUAUUGAUAACUUUAUCUAGUUAUCAACGAUAUUUAUUAAGUAGUACUCUAUGUUCAUUCUGCACACAGUCACUAAUGCCCACCUAUAGAAUCCUUCUCAGGCUGCGAAUGAGCCGCUUUGGAAGUACAUCGUUUCAUUCAAAGAAAAUCAUGUUCCAGAUUCCAGAACUAUCAAACUCAGCGACAUUGUCUGCCCUAAAAAAUGGGCUUUGGCACGAGUCAUGUUUCUGCGAGGAACCGACCGUCAACCGACCCGUAACAAUCCAAGACGCAUUUCAUCAAACUUCAAAUAGAUUAAUGCUGAAGAAAAGCAGGCAACUCUUGUUAAAAAAUUCAGGUUUAUUGAAUGCUUGACGGUGUUGAGGAAAUUUGGAUAUCAGUUGCACGAUUAAGAAGAUCAUGGAGGCUGAAGUAUAAGCUCAAGAUGAAAGUAUAUAUAUUGAAGUCUUUUUAAUCGAUAUUUAAAAGGAGGAAUUGUAAGAGACGAGUGCAAAGUCUUGCAAGAACUGUCUCAAGUUUCUUCACUUCUAGACGGGUAAACUGCUAAGCAUAAAGCAUGUUGAUUUAGUAUUAACAACUGAAAAAACAUCCGGGAAAUGACGAACGCAGAGGGAACAAACUACAUUAACAAACAAGAACUAGUAAAGUUCUGACUCACCUAUUUGCAUCAUAAGAAGAAGGUACAUCUAAAGGAAGCUCAUGAGUCAUGAGUAUAUAAGGGGAAUAUUCAUAUUGAUCUCUAAGGGUUUAUGAUAAGUUAAGUUGCAUAGAGUGUUUUUCAGGAGAAUAUAUAAGAAUUCAAAUGAAGCAGAGAAAAGUGUGCAAACGAAGAUCAAUUAAAAUCACCUAUAAAUGUGUAGUGACAAGUAUGAGAAGGAUAUGUUUAAUUAAUGAUGUGUGUAGAUUAGUCAUUACAAAAUUAUGAGGGGAGAUAAAUUUUAGAGCGAGAAGCUUUGGAGAAUUAUGUCUCUAAGUUGUGGUUGAUGUUUUACUAUUUUUGUUGUACAUCGUUCAUACUUGUACAAUGUAGUUCAUAGUUUUACUAUAUAAAACCUAUCAGUGUAAGAUGUAUGCGCCAAGAUAAGACUACAAACAAGAAGUAUUGUUGAGUGGUAUAAAAGAAGAGAGAGUACAUUUCAUAGUCUCAGGAAUAUCACAUGAUAGUGGAUGUGAGACAAGUUCAAAAGAGCUUAAAGUAUUUCAAAUUUGUUAGUGUGAACGUUUUGCUGAUUUAAAAGGGUUUGAUCAAGUUUAAUUUGUGCAAAUAAAUUUAUUUCAAAAUAAGUUAGGCAACAUGUUCUCUUCAUAACAAAAGCGGUGCAAAGUGAUGUUCAAAGUUCAAACAAAUCACUAUAAGUACAAUCUUUGAUUAAAAACAUAUUUACCACUAAUAUUCGAAAAAAUUAAGCAUAUGUGAUCCAAGGGUGUGUGCAUAUGAUUUAAGUGAGACUUUGAUUCAAAGCUCAGUGUACAUGAGGUGGAUCAAAAGGCCGACAAGAGAAAUAAUCUAUAAAAGUUUAAAGGUAUCCAGGCUAUGAAUGAAACAAAAGGAUCAUUAGAACAAAAACUUUGAGAGAUAGUAAAGACACAAAAUCGGGAUUAGACAAGAAUACGUCAUGGAGAUUUAUGGAUACUAACUCUCACACAUGUAAACUGUUGGGGGUCUCACGACUUCAUCCAUGCCUCAAGUUUUUUCCAGGACAUGGAAAUGUUGAACUUUCCUCUCAACAACAGUGUUAACACACUGACUGAAAUGAGCAGUAUCAGUCACAACACACGAAUACUAGCUACCGUUAACUUAAACUCUUGUAAGCACGACUCAUUGUUAAAACCUAAAAACCUAUAAACAAAACCUAACAAAGAAUUGGAACCUGAGGAUAAUACUCACUCGCCAUGAAAUCACCAUAUUUAAGUCCAACCCAGGCAUAUAUCUCCGUCGGCGGGAUAAUUGUUGGAAUAGAUUUCUUUUCUAAUCAAGAAAAUGGAAAUUCUCAAGAAAAGAAAAUUCUCAGUUGGAAUAAGCUUAUUAUCUUCAUUUCUUGAAUUUCAACUUUUCUUGAUUAGAAAACUAAUAUACUCCAACAAUUAUCCCGGUGAAGAUAUUUACCUGGUUGGACUUGAAAUGUGUUGAUUUCAUGGCAAGUGAGUCUUAUGAUUUAUCGGAUUCCAAUUCGAUUUGGGUUUUUAUUUCUAAGUUGUAACAGUGAGUCGUACUUAAAAACGUUUAACUUAACGGUUAACUGGUAUGAGAUGAUGUGUUUGAUAAUGCUCAUUUCACUCAGUGGAUCAACACUAUUGUUAAACGGAAAGUUCAAUAUUUUCAUAACUUGGACAAAAUUUGGGGGCUGGAUGAAGUGGUGAUACCUCCAACACUUUAUAAGUGUGAGAGCUUGGUAUCCUUAUCUCGGUGACGUAUACUUGCCUAAUCUCAAGUUUGUGUUUUUACUUUCUCUCAAAGUUAUCGUUUUACUUGAAGUUAAGUCUCAAAAUUUUGUGUUAAAAGAAGUGAUAUUGUAAUAUUUGAUGGCUCGGGAAUGGAUGAUUGCUUUGACGAUUUUGUUCAUUGAUGGUUGAUCAAGUGCUUGGAUCUUGGAAUCGUCAUCGGAUUCUCAAGAUAUAUGAGUGUGGUGGAAACUGUAAAGCAAGUGGAGGGUCCAACACAACCUUACUCAAUUGUCACUUGUAAGGCCGUAAGUAGUUACUAAUUAGUCACCAGGGUUGGACACGGGACGGGUAUCCUUAAAUUUUGAGAUAUCCUUUACUCGACAUGAUCCUUACAAGUAGUAAAAGAAAUUUACUCUUACUCGAUCAUCUAAUAACGGGUACCCGGUAAAAAUCGCUGACCCGCUAUAUAUCUGACAUUUUACCCUUACCCGCUAUAUAUCUGACCUUUUACCCGUACCCGCAUAUUUAUUGAUAAUUAUGUAUAAAAAUAUUUUUCGUAGUUGCAUAAUAAUUUCAUAUUCCAAAACAUAAAUAUUUAUUUUUUAAAAAAAAAGAAAGAACUCAAAAAUAUAUGCACUAUAUAAUUGAAAAAAAUAUAAAAUUAUAUACUUAGGCUUUAACUUCCACUCUAUGAUAUAUUUAUAAAAUUUUAGUAGUAUUAAAAUAUACUAACAAAGCCUUAUUAGUCACCAACAAAAAGGAUAAAAGGGUCUAUCUACUUCUUUUGUUCUCUGCUACCAGAGAAACUAUUUACUAACUUCAAACAAAAUGAUAUUUAACUUAUCUAAUAAUUUUUAUAUAAUCACCUUAUAUUAUAUAUACAUAUAUAUUCAUACAAAUAAUAUUUUUCUACGAACCUAUAUUCGUAAAAUCAUACUUAAAACGAGAAUUAAAUUAAAAUUAAUAUUUUUUGAAGUAUAGAAAUUUAAAUUAAUUUUCAUAAAUAUUUGAUAACAAAUUUAUCACAUAUAAUUAUACCUUAAAAUUAAAAGACAUGGAUGUGGAUGGAGUUUGGAUGGAUUCAUGAUUACAUCAACUAGAUCCAGGAUCUUGGCUUUCAAAAUCUUAUUUUUCGAAUGUAAUAUCCCAAAUCCUGAAUAAAAUGACCAUAUUUAGUUUAUCUCAAAUCCGUUUAACUAUUUUUUCUUUCAAAUCUUCAUUGAUUUAAUCACAAAUAACUAAUCAAUAAAAAAAAAAAUAUCUAGAUGCGGAUGAUCAUACUUUUAAAUUGACAAACAUAGAUAUCGAUUUAGUUUGGACAGAAUCAUGAUAUGAUUAGCUAUAUCUUGACCGUUCACCUUCAAUAUCUUAAAUCUUCAUAUCUCAAAUCCUUAACAAUUUGACCAUAUUUGGUUUGCUAAAAUACGAUUAGCUCUUUUUCUUCUUCUUUUUUAAAAAAAUUUAAAUCCUUAUUGAUCUAAUUACAAAUGUCGAACCAAAUAAGAAAACAUGUCAAGAUGCGGAUAAUCAUACCUUAAAAUCGAGAAACAUAGAUAUGGAUUGAUUUUGAACAGAUUCAUGAUUUCAUCAAGUAGAUCCAGACCGUUGACCACCUUCAAUAUCUUAUUUUUCGAACACGCAAAAUCUCAAGUCAUGAACAAUUUGACCAUAUAGUUUACGCAAAUCCAAUUAACUUAUUAUUAUUAUUAUUAAAAUUCUGAUGGAUCUAAUCACAAAAAGAAUAACAAUAUAAGAAAACAUAUCUAGAUGCGGAUAAUCAUACCUUAAAAUCGAGAGACAUAAAAUAUGGAUUAAGCUUGAACGGAUUCAUGACUUCAUCAGCAAGAUCCAUGCUGUUGACCGCCUUUUUACCAUAUAGUUUACCCAAAUCCAAUUAACUUUUUUU